This is a long non-coding RNA of Salvelinus fontinalis (brook trout), 8582 nucleotides long. RefSeq lists it as uncharacterized. Lineage: Eukaryota; Metazoa; Chordata; Actinopteri; Salmoniformes; Salmonidae. The record is from RefSeq and is a predicted model, not a curated record. The transcript is spliced from 2 exons.
UCGUGGGUAUGUAUGGACCGUUUUAAGUCUUUAGUGAUGUGGACGACAAGGAACUUGAAGUUCUCAACCCACUCCACAACAGCCUGCUCCUGCUGAAUACUGUGCUUGUGACAAGAGAUUUCACAAAGAUUUCAGCUAUAGUUCGAAUUGUAGUUCAACUAUGAUUGACUAUCAUAAAGUGUCACUUUAUGAUUGCUUUCGCUUUGGUCUUCCAGCAAUAUUGUGUAUUAGCAGAAAGCAGGAUCCCCCCAUUAUAGUGAAUUUAAGAGAAAAAUCAAUGUUCAUGUAAUAAAGUUUAGAAGACGAUUAUAAUUGCUUUCUAAUACACUAGAUGUAUGUCCUUGAACCAAUUUACUUUUAAAUCGCACACAGAAAGUUAUAAGGAUAAUUUAGUUGCUAAUGGCAGCUUGCAGUAACCUGGUCAGCCUUCAACUUGAGUUACUCAUUUACAUUUAAGUCAUUUAGCAGACGCUCUUAUCCAGAGCGACUUACAAAUUGGAAAGUUCAUACAUAUUCAUCCUGGUCCCCCCGUGGGAAUUGAACCCUGGUCCCCCCGUGGGAAUUGAACCCACAACCCUGGCGUUGCAAGCGACAUGCUCUACCAACUGAGCCACACGAGACCACGUUACUCAAUGAGGGGGCAGCAACGUCUCUUCCUGGAGUAGCUCAAAGUGUGCAUGUCUUGUCUCCAUGAGACAAUGCGCUAUUGAGUCUUCACAUGGGAGUGAAUGGUGUCACGUGAUCCAUGGCGUUGUCCUUUCAUAUAUACAGUACCAGUCAAAAGUUUGGACACGCCAACUCAUUCAAAGGUUUUCCUUUAUUUUUUACUAUUUUUUACAUUGUAGAAUAAUAGUGAAGACAUCAACUAUGAAAUAACACACAUGGAAUCAUGUAGUAACCAAAUAAGUGUUAAACAAAUCAAAAUAUAUUUGAGAUUCUUCAAAGUAGCCACCCUUUGCCUUGAUGACAGCUUUGCACACUCAUUGGCACUUCAUCACUCUCCUUCUUAGUCAAAUAGCCCUUACACAGCCUGGAGCCUUUAGUAGGGGUUUCUUUGCAGCAAUUUGACCAUGAAGUCUGAUUCACGUAGUCACCUCUGAACAGUUGAAGUCUGUUACUUGAACUCUGUGAAGCAUUUAGUUGGGCUGCAAUUUUUAAGGUUGGUAACUCUAAUGAACUUAUCCUCUACGGCACCGGUAACUCUGUCUUCCUUUCCUGUGGCAGUCCUCAUGAGAGCCAGUUUCAUCAUAGCGCUUGAUGUUUUUUGCCAUGAAACAACGUUCAAAGUUCUUGACAUUUUCCCGGAGCGGACCUCUGUUGCGGAGGAUCGGUUGAUUAGAGUUACCAGCCUCAGAAAUUGCAGUCCAAAUAAAUGCUUCACGGAGUUCAAGUAACAGAGACAUCUCAACAUCAACUGUUCAGAAGAGACUGCAUGAAUCAGACCUUCAUGGUUGAAUUGCUGCAAAGAAACCAUUACUAAAGGACACCAAUAAGAAGAGACUUGCUUGGGCCAAGAAACACGAGCAAUGGACAUUAGACCGGUGGAAGUCUGUCGUUUGGUCUGAUGAGUCCAAAUUUGAGAUUUUUGGUUCCAACUGCUGUGUCUUUGUGAGACGCAGAGUAGGUGAACGGAUGAUCUCGGCAUGUGUCGUUCCCCCCGUGAAGCAUAGAGGAGGUGUGGUGGUGUAGGCGUGCUUUACUGUUGACACUAAGUGAUUUAUUUAGAAUUCAAGGCACACUUAACCAACAUGGCUACCACAGCAUUCUGCAGCGAUACGCCAUCCCAUCUGGUUUGGGCUUAGUGGGACUAUCCUUUGUUUUUCAACAGGACAAUGACCCAAAACAUACCUCCAGGCUGUGUAAGGGCUAUUUGACCAAAAAGGAGAGUGAUGGAGUGCUGUAUCAGAUGUCCUGGCCUCCACAAUCACCCAACCUCAACCCAAUUGAGAUGGUUUGGGAUGAGUUGGACUGCAGAAUGAAGGAAAAGCAGCCAACAAGUGCUCAGCAUAUGUGGGAACUUAGUGGGCUUCACCUGGAAGCUUUAACCAGCUUCACCUGGAACUUAAUCAUUCCAGGUGAAGCUGGUUGAGAGAAUGCCAAGUGUGCAAAGCUGUCAUCAAGGCAGAGGGUGGCAACUUUGAAGAAUCUAAACGACAAAAUAUAUUGUUUUAACACUUUUUUUUUGUGUGUGUUACUUCAUGAUUCCAUAUGUGUUAUGGUGUGUGUGUGGUAGAAACCUGAGGAUGGGUAUAGAGUCUUUGCAGGUAGUCAGUGCGGUCCAAAUGGUGUCUGGGUGAGAGUGCGGGCAGUGGUAGGUAUGAGUUACAACAGCCUGCCCUAUGUAACAUUUUUAAUCCUACCAUAGUGGAGGAGGUCAUUUGAGGAGCUUUCCAUGUACCUUCCAUGGGUAAUGUUUUGUGUAUCUCUCCUACUGUAGCUCAGAUAGAAGCCCUUAUUCUGGUUUACAUAGGCUAACACAAGCCAACGGUCCCAAAAUAGGCACGGUAAUGCGGACGAGAUUAAUCACACCUACGCUACUGCCAUCGGCUUCAAGACUGAAGAUCCAUCGUUCUGUAAUUACUCCCUGUACAUUAAACAUGACUUGGUAGCACUGAGGGUAGGCCUAUUCAGUGUUGAAUAGGUAAGGGAUCGUGACUCGUUUAGCAGACUGUGUAUUCAUGACAUGCAAGGCAGGUUUCAUUUUCUAGGCUUCUCAUUCCUAAAUCCUUGAUUUGCAGGGACAGGGAUUUACUGCCUUAUGGUCCUCCUAACAGGCCUGGUGACUGAGUUCAACGUGCUACCAGACACUGCAUGGAGCCACGGCCGGCCUCAUGCUCCUAGAGUACCACAGUCGAGGUCAUAAUACCCAUAAAACCUAGCAGUCAAACACUGAAAUGGUUCCAAUCGUUUUUCCACUGUUAAUUUGUCCCGUAGGGGAUUAUAGAAACACUUCAAUGAAGGUCUGUUUUGUGUAGGCUUACCCUGGUGUGAUGUUUUGAUAACCAUGCAAAUCUCUCUCAGAUAAGGUCCCACUUUUUUUGAAUUUCUUUUGUUUGUCCCCUUUUUUCUCCCCAAUUUCGAUCUUGUCUCAUCGGAAGAGACGAAGGUCGAGUCAUGCGUCCUCCGAAACAUGACCCGCCAAACCACGCUUCUUAACACCAGCCUACGUAACCCGGAAGCCAGCCGCACCAAUGUGUCGGACGAAACACCGUUUACCUGACAACCGAGGUCAGCCUGCAGGCACCUGGCCUUCCACAAGGAGUCGCUAGAGCGCGAUAUGCCAUGUUAGGCCGGGGGGUAAAGCCCCCCGGCCUAACACGGACAACACUCAGCCUAUUGUGCGCCACCCUAUGGGACUCCCGCUCAUGGCUGGUUGUGAUACAAUCCAGGAUCGAACCCGGCUCUGUAGUGACACCCUUAGCACUGCGAUGCAGUGCCUUAGACCGCUGUGCCACUCAGGAGGCCCCGGACAAGAACCAAUGGGUGUGCCGGAGUCUCAUCACCUCUCAACUAGGCAAGCUGUUUCAACCUGGAACACUUUUCUCCUGCUUUGGUCUGUUUGUCGUUGCAGGAAGUCCUGAAGAGCUGGAGUUUAUGAAGGGUUUUGUCCCAACCCAGCUCUAACACCUGGCUUAAAUAAUCAACAUAAUAAAUCACGGUUGUAAGCUAAGAUUUGUAUUCCGAUAUGAGCUGGGCAGGAACAAAAGCUUAUACAUACUCCUGCCGUUCAGAUCGGUAAAUAUUCUGUACUAUGGGUACACAUUCUUCGCGGGGGGGGGGAUUCAUUUCGAUGGUAUUGCUCUAUAUAAUGCAUGUCACACUCAAGUUGAACUUGUUGACUGAUGCUAAGCUGGCGGCUGCUAAGAAGGGAGCAAUUGCAACUAGAAGGCAUGACUGGUCCACACCUGCCCUGUCUGUUGGAUGAGUAGUAUCGGUUGGUACUGUAUGUGCCUUUAGGUUCCUCUCUGUGUAGGCUAUUGUACAGUCUUUCAUACAGUGCCUUCUGAAACAUUUCCACAUUUUGAUAAGUUACAGCCUUAUUCUAAAAUGUAUUUGUUUUUCCCCCCUCAUCAACACAAUACUCCAUAAUGACAAAGCAAAAACAGGUUUAGAAAUUUGUGUAAUUUCAUUAAAAAUAAAACUGAAAUAACAAAUUUGCAUAAGUAUUCAGAUCCUUUACUCAGUACUUUGUUGAAGCAACUUUGGCAGUGAUUACACCCUUGAGUCUUCUUGGGUAUGACGCUAUAAACUUUGCACACCUGUAUUUGCAGAGUUUCUCCCAUUCUUCUCUGCAGAUCCUCUUAAGCUCUGUCAGGUUGGAUGGGAGCGUCGCUGCACAGCUAUUUUCAGGUCUCUCAGAGGUUCGAUCGGGUUCAAGCCCGGGCUCUGGCUGGGCCACUCAAGGACGCUCAGAGACAUGGCCCAAUGCCACUCCUGCAUUGUCUUGGCUGUGUGCUUAGGGUUGUUAUGCUGAUGGAAGGUGAACCUUCAGUCUGAGGUCCUGAGCGCUCUGGAGCAGGUUUUUAAUCAAGGAUCUCUGUACUUUGCUCCGUUCAUCUUUCCCUCGAUCCUGACUAGUGUCCCUGUCGCUGAAAAACAUCAACACAGAAUGAAGCUGCCACCACCAUGCUUCACCGUAGGGAUGGUGACAGGUUUCCUCCAGAUGUCAUGCUUUGCAUUCAGGCCAAAUAGUUCAAACUUGGUUUCAACAGACCAGAGAUUUUUGUUUCAUGUUCUGAGUCCUUUAGGUGCCUUUUGGCAAAUUCCAAGCGGGCUCUCAUGUUCCUUUUAGUGGCUUCCAUCUGGCCACUCUACCAUAAAGGCCUGAUUGGUGGAGUGCUGCAGAAAUGGUUGUCCUUCUGGAAGGUUCUCCCAUCUCCACAGGAACUUUGGAGCUCUGUCAGAGUGACUGAGUUCUUGGUCACUUCCCUGACCAAGGUCAUUCUCCCCGAUUGCUCUAGGAAGAGUCUUUUUGGUUCCAAACUUCUUCCAUUUAAGAAUGAUUCAGGCCACUGUGUUCUUGGACCUUCAAUGCUGCAGAAAUGUUUUGGUACCCAUCCCCAUAUCUGUGCCCCGACACAAUCCUGUCUCUGUUCGAGCUCUACGGACAAUUCCUUCGUCCUCAUGGCUUUGUUUUUGCUCUGACAUGCACUGUCAACUGUGGGACCUUUAUAUAGACAGGUGUGUGCCUUUCCAAAUCAUGUCCAAUCAAUUACAUUUACCACAGGUGUACUCCAAUCAAGUUGUAGAAGCUUCUCAAGGAUGAUAAAUGGAAACAGGAUGCACCUGAGUUCAAUUUCGAGUCUCAUAGCAAAGGGUCUAAAUACUUAUGUAAAUAAGGUAUUUCUUAUUGUUUUUUAACAAUUUGCCAACAUUUCUAAAAACCUGUUAUUGUUUUGUCCAUUAUGGGAUAUUGUGUGUACAGUCGUGGCCAAAAGUUGAGAAUGACACACAUUAAUUUCCACAAAGUUUGCUGCUUCAGUGUCUUUAGAUAUUUUUUCAGGUGUUACAAUGGAAUACUGAAGUAUAAUUACAAGCACUUCAUAAGUGUCAAAGGCUUUUAUUGACAAUUACAUGAAGUUGAUGCAAAGAGUCAAUAUUUGCAGUGUUGACCCUCUUUCAAGACCACUGCAAUCUGCCCUGGAAUGCUGUCAAUUAACUUCUGGGCCACAUCCUGACUGAUAGAAGCCCAUUCUUGCAUAAUCAAUGCUUGGAGUUUUUCAGAAUUUGUGGGUUUUUGUUUGUCCACCCGCCUCUUGAUAAUUGACCACACGUUCUCAAUGGGAUUACGGUUUCCUGGCCAUGGACCCAAAAUAUCGACGUUUUGCUCCCCGAGCCACUUAGUUGUCACUUUUGCCUUAUGGCAAGGUGCUCCAUCAUGCUGGAAAAGGCAUUGUUCGUCACCAAACUGUUCCUGGAUGGUUGGGAGAAGUUGCUUUCGGAGGAUGUGUUGGUACCGUUCUUUAUUCAUGGCUGUGUUCUUAGGCAAAUUGUGAGUGAGCCCACUCCCUUGGCUGAGAAGCAACCCCACACAUGAAUGGUCUCAGGAUGCUUUACUGUUGGCAUGACACAGGACUGAUGGUAGCGCUCACCUUGUCUUCUCCGGACAAGCUUUUUUCCGGAUACCCCAAACAAUCGGAAAGAGGAUUCAUCAGAGAAAAUGACUUUACCCCAGUCCUCAGCAGUCCAAUCCCUGUACCUUUUGCAGAAUAUCAGUCUGUCCCUGAUGUUUUUCCUGGAGAGAAGUGGCUUCUUUGCUGCCUUUCUUGACACCAAGCCAUCCUCCAAAAGUCUUUGCCUCGUUGUGCGUGCAGAUGCACUCACACCUGCCUGCUGCCAUUCCUGAGCAAGCUCUGUACCGGUGGUGCCCCGAUCCCGCAGCUGAAUCAACUUUAGGAGACAGUCCUGGUGCUUGCUGGACUUUCUUGGGUGACCUGAAGCCUUCUUCACAACAAUUGAACUGCUAUCCUUGAAGUUCUUGAUAAUCCGAUAAAUGGUUGAUUUAGGUGCAAUCUUACUGGCAGCAAUAUCCUUGCCUGUGAAACCGUUUUUGUGCAAAGCAAUGAUGACACACGUGUUUCCUUGCAGGUAACCAUGGUUGACAGAGGAAGAACAAUGAUUCCAGCACCACCCUCCUUUUGAAGCUUCCAGUCUGUUAUUCGAACUCAAUCAGCAUGACGGAGGGAUCUCCAGCCUUGUCCUCGUCAACACUCACACCUGUGUUAACGAGAUAAUCGCUGACAUGUCAGCUGGUCUCCUUUUGUGGCAGGGCUGAAAUGCAGUGGAAAUGUUUUUGGGGUGGGAUUCAGUUCAAUUGCAUGGCGAAGAAUUGCAAUUCAUCUGAUCACUAUAAAUAACAUUCUGGAGAAUACGCAAAUUGCCAUCAUACAAACUGAGGCAGCAGACUUUAUGAAAAUUAAUAUUUGUGUCCUUCUCAACUUUUGGCCACGACUUAAAUAUUUGAUCAAUUUUAGAAUAAGGCUGUAAUGUAACAAGGGAAGGAGUCUGAAUACUUUCUGAAUGCAUUGUAUGUGUAGUAGUUUCUCGUAUUUCUUGGUUUAUCAUUUGUCAACUUUGGGAACUUCUCUAAUCAAAAAUGUGUUAUUUUCCAUUUAAAUAUUCUUCCACUUUGUAGAUUUUUGGCAAAAAAACCCAUCCAUUUUAAUCCCUCUUUGUAACACAUCAAAAUGUGGAAGAAGUCAAAGGGUAUGAAUACUUCCUGAAGAAGCUGUAUUUAGGCAUGGGUUCCUUGUAUAUUUUUUGUCUUAAGUAUUUCUCAUUCUGCUGGAGUUUACCUAGUAUUUUAUACUGAACAAAAAUAUGAACACAACAUGCGAUCACUUCAAAUAUUUUCUGAGGUCAUGUGUUGCUACCAUGUUGUCAUUUGUAUUUAUUUUUUGCUGCUAUGUUGUUGUCUUAGGUAUUUUUGUGGUGUCUCUCUUGCCUUGGUGUGUGUGUUGUCAUUUAAAAAAAUCACAGCCAUUGUCCCCGCAGGCCUUUUGGUAGGCCGUCAUUGUAAAUAAGAAUUUGUUCUUAACUGACAUGCCUAGUUAAAUAACAUUUGAGGAAAUCAAAUUCACUAGGCCCUACUCAAUGGAUUUUACAUGACUGUAAAUACAGAUAUGCAACUGUUGUUCACAGAUACCUUGGGCCUCAGGAUCUCGUCACAGUAUUUCUGUGCAUUCAAAUUUCCAUUGAUGAAAUGCAAUUGUGUGCGUUGUCCGUCUCUUAUGCCUUCCCACACAGCGCCAUAUGUUGGAGGCGGCUCACGGUAGAGAAAUUAACAUAAAAUGAUCUGGCUUUAUUGGGCAUUCCUGCAGUCAACAUGCCAAUUGCAUGCUCCCUCAACUUGAGACAUCUGUGGCGUUGUUAUUGUCUCCAGCACAAGGUACACCUGUGUAAUGAUCAUGCUGUUUUAUCAGCUUUUUGAUUUUCCACACCUGUCACGUGGAUGGAUGAUAUUGGCAAAGGAGAAACACUCACUAAUAGGCAUGUAAACAAAUUUGUGCACAAAAUUUGAGAGAAAUAUGUUUUUUUGUGCGUUUGGAACAAUUUGUGGAUCUAUUAUUUCAGCUAAUAAAACGUGGGAUUGACACAGCUCAGUUGGUAGAGCAUGGUGCUUGCAAUGCCAAGGUUGUGGGUUCUAUUCCCACGGGGGACCUGUGCAAAAAGUAUGGAAAUAUAUACACUCAUACUCUUAUCCAGAGCAAUUUACAGUAUCUGCUAAAAUGGCUAAAUAUUGAGAUUUUUUUAAAUAUAUAUUUUUGUUCGGUGUGUUUUAAGCCUACCUUCAACAUCCAGUUAUUUCUCCAUUUGUAACUCACCCACCAAAUCACAAUAUGCCGUUUUACAUUUGGUUUUAUUUAUGCUGGUCAAAUUCCUAUCAUGGAAAAGCAGAAAAAUCUGUGCGCUUUCAGAUUAAUAAAUAAUUUAAGUUUUACUUCAAGUCAGAUGUUUAUUUUAUGUAUGCAUUGUUUACUAUUUAGAUUCAUUUAAAACAAUGUAAUUGUUGGAGUUAAGGUGUUUGACUUGCUUGAUGGAUGACUAGGUGCGUUCUUGUCAAAUAAAUAUGCUUAUUCAUU